GACGAACGCUGGCGGCGUGCUUAACACAUGCAAGUCGAACGGAAAGGCCCUGCUUUUGUGGGGUGCUCGAGUGGCGAACGGGUGAGUAACAUGUGAGUAACCUGCCCUUGACUUUGGGAUAACUUCAGGAAACUGGGGCUAAUACCGGAUAGGAGCUCCUGCUGCAUGGUGGGGGUUGGAAAGUUUCGGCGGUUGGGGAUGGACUCUCGGCUUACCAGCUUGUUGGUGGGGUAGUGGCUUACCAAGGCUUUGACGGGUAGCCGGCCUGAGAGGGUGACCAGCCACAUUGGGACUGAGAUACGGACCAGACUGCUACGGGAGGCAACGGUGGGGAGUAUUGCACAGUGGGCGGAAGCCUGAUGCAGCAGCGCCGCGAGCGGGAUGACGGCCUUCGGGUUGUAAACCGCAUUCACCUGUGACGAAGCGUGAGUGACGGUAAUGGGUGAAGAAGCACCGGCUAACUACGUG
This 468-nucleotide ribosomal RNA is filed under the name uncultured bacterium. RNAcentral's name for it is "partial 16S ribosomal RNA". It matches the Rfam family "Bacterial small subunit ribosomal RNA", at positions 28 to 507 of the family's 1533-position model. The record is from RNAcentral.